GCCGGGGUGGCGGAACGGCAGACGCAGUGGACUUAAAAUCCACUGGCCCUCUGGGCCGUGAGGGUUCGAGUCCCUCCCCCGGCA
RNAcentral lists this transfer RNA (84 nucleotides) under Dehalococcoidia bacterium. Its description in RNAcentral is "tRNA-Leu". It matches the Rfam family "tRNA". From Rfam's summary of the family: Transfer RNA (tRNA) molecules are approximately 80 nucleotides in length. Their secondary structure includes four short double-helical elements and three loops (D, anti-codon, and T loops). The record is from RNAcentral. Lineage: Bacteria; Bacillati; Chloroflexota; Dehalococcoidia.